This 22-nucleotide microRNA is filed under the name Strongyloides ratti. RNAcentral describes it as "str-miR-255-3p". Its record names the gene str-miR-255-3p. The record is from miRBase by way of RNAcentral. Lineage: Eukaryota; Metazoa; Nematoda; Chromadorea; Rhabditida; Strongyloididae.
AAACUGAAUUGAUUCCUUACAG